GAUCAAAAGCAUUUCAACAAUUUAUCUAGGGUUCAUUACAAGCAAACUGGAAAAGAACGAAAAUCCCCAUCCCUCUGUAUCUCCCCUGUAUUUAUAAGACAUAUAUAGAGCAUAAGACCCAGCAGAUGCUUGACAAUUCCAAGAUAAUGGAUCAGUUCGACACCAAAGAAAACUGAAGGAGGAGCGAAUAGCAGGGAACAUGCAUGUUUGUCACACAAUCAAAAUCCACCAAGUUCUAUACAAUGAUGAUACAUAUAAUAUGUAUUAUUAUUGACGAGAAACAGAACUAGGGUACAAAACCAAUAUCCUUGAAGUAUUCAUGCUCAAGAGCACUCCUAGCUGUAAUUCUCUUGCUGGGAUCCAAGCAGAGCAUUUUAGU
This 379-nucleotide unclassified non-coding RNA is filed under the name Hevea brasiliensis (rubber tree). The record is from RNAcentral. Lineage: Eukaryota; Viridiplantae; Streptophyta; Magnoliopsida; Malpighiales; Euphorbiaceae.